CACCACUCCGGCCUGGCUGGGUGUUGGGCGUCGCGGCUCGCCGCGCGCCUCAAAGUCCUCUUUUUCCGGCUGAGCGACCCGUCUCCAAGCGUUGUGGUUACACCAUCGCGGCGAGCGCGGGGCGUCGGCGGCCGUUAAAUCUCCAUAUAA
Molecule: unclassified non-coding RNA, 150 nt
Filed under: uncultured Capnodiales
Lineage: Eukaryota; Fungi; Ascomycota; Dothideomycetes; Capnodiales
Description: sequence contains ITS2
Source: RNAcentral